AACGCACAUUGCGCCCGCCAGCAUUCUGGCGGGCAUGCCUGUCCGAGCGUCAUUUCAACCCUCAGGCUCCCGCGCCUGGCGUUGGGGAUCGGCCUUCACCGGCCGGCCCCGAAAUACAGUGGCGGCCCCGCCGUAGACCUCCUCUGCGUAGUAGCACACACCUCGCAGCCUGGGAGCGCGGCGGCGGCCACGCCGGAAAACCCCCGACUUCUGAAAGUUGACCUCGGAUCAGGUAGGAAUACCCGCUGAACUUAA
RNAcentral lists this unclassified non-coding RNA (255 nucleotides) under uncultured Hypocreales. RNAcentral's name for it is "sequence contains 5.8S rRNA gene, ITS2, 28S rRNA gene". The record is from RNAcentral. Lineage: Eukaryota; Fungi; Ascomycota; Sordariomycetes; Hypocreales.